Pangasianodon gigas (Mekong giant catfish) is the source of this 72-nucleotide non-coding RNA. The record is from the annotation of a GenBank genome assembly. Lineage: Eukaryota; Metazoa; Chordata; Actinopteri; Siluriformes; Pangasiidae.
UCCUUGGAGGACUAGUGGUUAGGCUACAGUGCUCUCACUGCUGCAGCCCGGGUUCGAGUCCCGGCCACUGGG